This 453-nucleotide ribosomal RNA is filed under the name uncultured bacterium. RNAcentral describes it as "bacterial SSU rRNA". It matches the Rfam family "Bacterial small subunit ribosomal RNA", at positions 340 to 786 of the family's 1533-position model. The record is from RNAcentral.
UACGGGAGGCAGCAGUGGGGAAUAUUGCACAAUGGGCGCAAGCCUGAUGCAGCCAUGCCGCGUGUAUGAAAAGGCCUUCGGUUGUAAAGUACUUUCAGUCGUGAGGAAGGUGUUAAGGUUAAUAACCUUAGCAAUUGACGUUAGCGACAGAAGAAGCACCGGCUAACUCCGUGCCAGCAGCCGCGGUAAUACGGAGGGUGCGAGCGUUAAUCGGAAUUACUGGGCGUAAAGGGCACGCAGGCGGUUAAUUAAGUUGGAUGUGAAAUCCCCGGGCUUAACCUGGGAAUGGCAUUCAAGACUGGUUAGCUAGAGUCUUGUAGAGGGGGUAGAAUUCCAUGUGUAGCGGUGAAAUGCGUAGAGAUGUGGAGGAAUACCGGUGGCGAAGGCGGCCCCCUGGACAAAGACUGACGCUCAUGUGCGAAAGCGUGGGGAGCAAAACAGGGAUUAGAUACC